RNAcentral lists this ribosomal RNA (401 nucleotides) under uncultured microorganism. RNAcentral's name for it is "bacterial SSU rRNA". It matches the Rfam family "Bacterial small subunit ribosomal RNA", at positions 346 to 795 of the family's 1533-position model. The record is from RNAcentral.
AGGCAGCAAUUGGGAAUUUUGCACAAUGGACGAAAGUCUGAUGCAGCGACGCCGCGUGAAGGACGAAGGCCUUCGGGUUGUAAACUUCGAUAAAGCACCGGCAAACUACGUGCCAGCAGCAGCGGUCAUACGUAGGGUGCAAGCGUUGUCCGGAUUUAUUGGGCGUAAAGAGUUCUGUAGGCGGUUGCGUAAGUUGGAAGUUAAAUCCUCCCGCUCAACGGGAGACCUGCUUUCAAUACUGCGUGACUAGAGACAUCUAGGGGACAGCGGAACCUAUGGUGGAGCAGUGAAAUGCGUUGAUAUCAUAGGGAACACCAAGGGGGUAGCCAGCUGUCUGGGGAUGUACUGACGCUGAGAGACGAAAGCGUGGGCAGAAAAACGGAUUAGAUACCCUGGUAGUC